AAUGAGGGAAACCUUGAUGCAGCCAUGCCGCGUGUGUGAAGAAGGCCCGAGGGUUGUGAAGCACUUUCAAUUGUGAGGAAAGGUUAGUCGCUAACAUCGGCUAGCUGUGACGUUAACUUUAGAAGAAGCACCGGCUAACUCUAUGCCAGCAGCCGCGGUAAUACAGAGGGUGCAAGCGUUAUUCGGAAUUACUGGGCGUAAAGCGCGCGUAGGCGGACUGUUAAGUCGGUUGUGAAAGCCCUGGGCUCAACCUAGGAACUGCAUCCGAUACUGGCAAUCUAGAGUUUAGGAGAGGGAAGUGGAAUUCCUGGUGUAGCAGUGAAAUGCGUAGAUAUCAGGAGGAACAUCAGUGGCGAAGGCGACUUCCUGGCCUAAAACUGACGCUGAGGUGCGAAAGCGUGGGUAGCGAACGGGAUU
This 417-nucleotide ribosomal RNA is filed under the name uncultured Gammaproteobacteria bacterium. Its description in RNAcentral is "bacterial SSU rRNA". It matches the Rfam family "Bacterial small subunit ribosomal RNA", at positions 370 to 779 of the family's 1533-position model. The record is from RNAcentral. Lineage: Bacteria; Pseudomonadati; Pseudomonadota; Gammaproteobacteria.